GACGAACGCUGGCGGCGUGCCUAAUACAUGCAAGUAGAACGCACAGUUUAUACCGUAGCUUGCUACACCAUAGACUGUGAGUUGCGAACGGGUGAGUAACGCGUAGGUAACCUGCCUGGUAGCGGGGGAUAACUAUUGGAAACGAUAGCUAAUACCGCAUAAUAUUAAUUAUUGCAUGAUAAUUAAUUGAAAGGUGCAAUUGCACCACUACCAGAUGGACCUGCGUUGUAUUAGCUAGUAGGUGAGGUAACGGCUCACCUAGGCGACGAUACAUAGCCGACCUGAGAGGGUGAUCGGCCACACUGGGACUGAGACACGGCCCAGACUCCUACGGAGGCAGCAGUAGGGAAUCUUCGGCAAUGGACGAAAGUCUGACCGAGCAACGCCGCGUGAGUGAAGAAGGUUUUCGGAUCGUAAAGCUCUGUUGUAAGAGAAGAACGGGUGUGAGAGUGGAAAGUUCACACUGUGACGGUAUCUUACCAGAAAGGGACGGCUAACUACGUG
This 504-nucleotide ribosomal RNA is filed under the name uncultured bacterium. RNAcentral's name for it is "partial 16S ribosomal RNA". It matches the Rfam family "Bacterial small subunit ribosomal RNA", at positions 28 to 507 of the family's 1533-position model. The record is from RNAcentral.